This is a non-coding RNA of Lepraria neglecta, 133 nucleotides long. Lineage: Eukaryota; Fungi; Ascomycota; Lecanoromycetes; Lecanorales; Stereocaulaceae. The record is from the annotation of a GenBank genome assembly.
GGGUUACUGGCGCAAUAGUAGCAUACUUGUCUUCUAAUCAAGUGGUGUGUUGUGACUCAUACCCAGGUGGUGUAACGUGCUCAAAUACUGAUCUGACCUUGGUAGGAUGUCGGUUCGAGUCCGACGUGACCCU